GCAACACCGAGUACCGAUCGACGAAUUAAUCAAGCCUAACCUAAGCUCGUCGUUCAUUUCGUUGACUCGUUCAAACAUCCAUUAAGGUAACUUGUUGGGCGAAUUUACGACUUGGCAGACGUCUAUCUGUAUGAACCUGAUCGAUAAGUGCUGGACGUAAAAGGGAAGAGAAAGUUCAGACGAUUUGAAUGUGCCAAGCUGCAACAAUGCCCACGAUAAAUGGAGAAUAUUGUUCGAGUAUUAGCGUGCCUUUGUGGCCGAGUUAUUGAGACGUUAGAAGGAAGUACUUUAUAAAAUUGGACUGUUUAAUCCGAGGAGCGAGAGUGAGACAAUCAACGAUAUUCUCCAAGGUUCGAAAUUUCGAUGAUGGGAAGAGAAGCUAAAUUUUCGAUCAAACUGAGAUCCAAGAUGCAACCAAAUUCUCGGAUAUUUAACGUUUAAAAAAAUCACGCUGAUUUUCUCUAUAGCUAUGAUAACCGUAUAUUCUUUAUCGUAAAGGAUAGUUAUUUUAUUCCGCCGAAUCUAUUUUAAAUAUACACUUAGGAUUUAUUUCAACGCGAUGAUUCACGCUAUACUAGAAACUUAGGUCCAGUCAAGUAAUACAUUGUAUCGUAAAAUAAAGGAAAAUAUAAAAGA
Molecule: long non-coding RNA, 636 nt
Organism: Bombus pyrosoma
Lineage: Eukaryota; Metazoa; Arthropoda; Insecta; Hymenoptera; Apidae
Exons: 3
Source: RefSeq, a predicted model, not a curated record